UCAGGAAAAUGGAGCUUUGUGUACAUUCCUUGCAAAUACACAGGCUUUCAUCAGAGACACUUCAGCUGCCCCAAAUCACAGUUGCUUCUAUGACAACAAACAUGUCAAGAUGGAAUGCAAAUUUGUCCCUGGUGCAGCCAGCAGUGCCUGCCAGCUCCCUGCUCAGCCGAGGAAAAGCCAGAAGGCUGGGAUGGAUGUGCUGGUAAUGCAACACGUGGACUUUUUGUUUGGAGAACUUAAACGAAAGCAGGCAGUGUGAUCAAGAUAAAGCUUUUAAUGAUGUUUGCCUUAUUAUAGUUAUGAAUGCUCUCUA
Long non-coding RNA from Haemorhous mexicanus (house finch), 313 nucleotides. RefSeq lists it as uncharacterized. The transcript is spliced from 2 exons. The record is from RefSeq and is a predicted model, not a curated record. Lineage: Eukaryota; Metazoa; Chordata; Aves; Passeriformes; Fringillidae.